RNAcentral lists this ribosomal RNA (407 nucleotides) under uncultured bacterium. Its description in RNAcentral is "partial 16S ribosomal RNA". It matches the Rfam family "Bacterial small subunit ribosomal RNA", at positions 30 to 526 of the family's 1533-position model. The record is from RNAcentral.
AUUGAACGCUGGCGGCAGGCCUAACACAUGCAAGUCGAGCGGAGCGGCUGACGGGUGAGUAAUGCCUAGGAAUCUGCCUGGUAGUGGUGGAUAACGUCCGGAAACGGGCGCUAAUACCGCAUACUAUCAGAUGAGCCUAGGUCGUAUUAGCUAGUUGGUGGUGUAAAGGCCUACUAGGGCGACUAUCCGUAAUUGGUCUGAGAGGAUGAUCAGUCAAACUGGAACUGAGACACGUGCCAGAAUCCUACGAGAGGCAGCAGUGUGGAAAAUUGGACAAUGGGCGAAAGCCUGAUGCAGCCAUGCCGCGUGGGUGAAGAAGGUAUUCGGAUUGUAAAGCACUUUGAGUUGGGAGACGUUAAAAACAGUAUAAGCACCGGCUAACUUCGUGCCAGCAGCCGCGGUAAUUC